Molecule: ribosomal RNA, 440 nt
Filed under: uncultured bacterium
Lineage: Bacteria
Description: partial 16S ribosomal RNA
Rfam family: Bacterial small subunit ribosomal RNA
Source: RNAcentral
CCUACGGGAGGCAGCAGUAGGGAAUAUUGCACAAUGGGGGAAACCCUGAUGCAGCGACGCCGCGUGAGUGAGGAAGUAUUUCGGUAUGUAAAGCUCUAUCAGCAGGGAAGAAAAUGACGGUACCUGACUAAGAAGCCCCGGCUAACUACGUGCCAGCAGCCGCGGUAAUACGUAGGGGGCAAGCGUUAUCCGGAUUUACUGGGUGUAAAGGGCGCGUAGACGGCAGCACAAGUCUGAAGUGAAAUGCCGGGGCUUAACCCCGGAACUGCUUUGGAAACUGUGCAGCUAGAGUGCAGGAGAGGUAAGUGGAAUUCCUAGUGUAGCGGUGAAAUGCGUAGAUAUUAGGAGGAACACCAGUGGCGAAGGCGGCUUACUGGACUGUAACUGACGUUGAGGCUCGAAAGCGUGGGGAGCAAACAGGAUUAGAUACCCCAGUAGUC